RNAcentral lists this ribosomal RNA (253 nucleotides) under uncultured bacterium. RNAcentral's name for it is "partial 16S ribosomal RNA". It matches the Rfam family "Bacterial small subunit ribosomal RNA", at positions 524 to 776 of the family's 1533-position model. The record is from RNAcentral.
UACGAAGGGUGCAAGCGUUACUCGGAAUUACUGGGCGUAAAGCGUGCGUAGGUGGUGAGUUAAGUCUGUCGUGAAAGCCCCGGGCUCAACCUGGGAAUGGCGAUGGAUACUGGCUCGCUAGAGUGCGGUAGAGGAGAGUGGAAUUCCCGGUGUAGCAGUGAAAUGCGUAGAGAUCGGGAGGAACAUCAGUUGCGAAGGCGGCUCUCUGGACCAGCACUGACACUGAGGCGCGAAAGCUAGGGGAGCAAACGGG